RNAcentral lists this small RNA (862 nucleotides) under Pongo abelii (Sumatran orangutan). Its description in RNAcentral is "processed transcript". Lineage: Eukaryota; Metazoa; Chordata; Mammalia; Primates; Hominidae. The record is from RNAcentral.
UUGUGUCUUUCAAGCGAGCACUGUGUGUCACAUGGGGAUCAUGUUUGGGGCCCUUAGAGUGUCAUCCCCAACCAGCAGCAGCCGCCUCUGGGCAGGUGUGGGCAGUGCCGUCCCCAGCUGAAGCAGGCCUGCCUGUGGACACAUGCUUGUCACAGUCGACAAAGCAGCUCUGCAGAGCUCGGGCCACAACAGGAGCAAAGCUGCAGCUGGCAAACGCCCUUCUGGAAAAGGAAGUGAUAAACUAUGAGGACAUUGAGGCUCUCAUUGGCCCACCGCCCCAUGGGCCGAAGAAAAUGAUCGCACCGCAGAGGUGGAUCGACGCCCAGAGGGAGAAACAGGACUUGGGAGAGGAGGAGACCGAAGAGACCCAGCAGCCCCCACUUGGAGGCGAAGAGCCGACUUGGCCCAAGUAGUUGGGACGUGUUGGCCGCAUGUGCGGGUGGUCCGGGAAGUGAGGGCUCACUCAGCCACCCUGAGUUGCUUUUCAGCUGAGUUUGCAUUUCCUCUCACGGCCCUCAGUAGUCCCUGCACAGUGACUUCUGAGAUCUGUUUAUUGAUGACCCUUUUCAUGAUUUUAAGUUUCUCUGCAGAAACUACUGACGGAGUCCUGUGUUUGUGAGUCGUUUCCCCCAUGGGGAAGGUUAUCAGUGCUUUCCCGAGUGAGCGUGGAACACCUCGAGUUCCCAGGGUUAUGGACAGUCAUUCCCAGUGUGGCUGAGGCCACCCAGAGGCAGCAGAGCAUUCAGACUCCGAACAGACCCCUGUUCAUGCCAACGCUUGCACGGCCGCCCCAGUUCCUGUGGCUCCCUCGGAAUGCUAAGGGGAUCAGACAUGAAAGGACCCUGUGAGCCGAUUGUCCUAU